Long non-coding RNA from Spinacia oleracea (spinach), 747 nucleotides. RefSeq lists it as uncharacterized. The transcript has 5 exons. NCBI's taxonomy places the organism in Eukaryota, Viridiplantae, Streptophyta, Magnoliopsida, Caryophyllales, Amaranthaceae. The record is from RefSeq and is a predicted model, not a curated record.
GUCGCUUCAAAUCAAACAAUCGGAAGGUGAGUUUGGGUUUUCCGGAUAUGUGUUCUACGGUGGAGGUGGUGCAGGGACCGGCGGAGGGAGGGCGGGGAUGGCGAGUUUCCGACAACAACAACAACAAUAACAGCAGCAACAAUCGCGACAGAGAGGAUUUUUCGGGAUUUAUACAGAUUUAUGUGUCAAAAAGUCAAAAACCACCCAAAAAAAAAGAGGGGACCUGGUUGGUGAUGAUUUGAGAUCAUUGCUCAUUCAAUUUUGUGUUUUAUCUGUGCCUUAUCAAGAUUUUGGCAAAUCGCCAGUCAGCUGUUGAUACGUAUACCGUCUACAGACAAACAUAAGUGAUCGUUUAAGAUGAUCAUUUAUUAAUGGAGGUUCAGUAAAUGAUCAUCUUAAAGGGUAUAAGGGUUAUAGCUUUGUGGAAAAUCCCUUCAAAAUUAUUACUCAUUAUCAGGUAGAACGAUAGACAUUGGAGACGUUGGAGUUUGAUACUUUAAUUGCUAAUGGUGUUCAUCAAAUUGGGCUUUGGAGUUGAACAUUGAAGUACGGCAAGGUGGGAAUUUGAUUGUCACACAUUUGUUUAUUUGUAUUAUGUGAUAUUAUUUACAAAUUAAAAUUUAAUUUAAAUUGUCGCACAUUUGUUUAUUUGUUGUAUGCUUCAAACUUAUCGGAAUGUGAUAGUAAUGCGAAAUAUAAUAGUAUUUGUAUUGUGGCAAAGUUUGUAUCGUGGAAAAUUUGUUUGCA